This 460-nucleotide ribosomal RNA is filed under the name uncultured bacterium. RNAcentral describes it as "partial 16S ribosomal RNA". It matches the Rfam family "Bacterial small subunit ribosomal RNA", at positions 338 to 795 of the family's 1533-position model. The record is from RNAcentral.
CCUACGGGAGGCAGCAGUGAGGAAUAUUGGUCAAUGGGCGCGAGCCUGAACCAGCCAAGUCGCGUGAGGGAGGACGGCCCUACGGGUUGUAAACCUCUUUUGCCGGGGAGCAACGGGCGCCACGUGUGGCGUCCCUGAGAGUACCCGGAGAAAAAGCAUCGGCUAACUCCGUUCCAGCAGCCGCGGUCAUACGGAGGAUGCGAGCGUUAUCCGGAUUUAUUGGGUUUAAAGGGUGCGUAGGCGGACCGUUAAAUCAGUGGUAAAAGUUAGGGGCUCAACCCCUUCCCGCCAUUGAAACUGGCGUUCUUGAGUGGAAGAGAAGUAUGCGGAAUGCGUGGUGUAGCGGUGAAAUGCAUAGAUAUCACGCAGAACCCCGAUUGCGAAGGCAGCAUGCCGGCUUCCGACUGACGCUGAAGCACGAAAGCGUGGGGAUCGAACAGGAUUAGAUACCCCUGUAGGC